RNAcentral lists this ribosomal RNA (882 nucleotides) under Staphylococcus aureus. RNAcentral's name for it is "partial 23S ribosomal RNA". It matches the Rfam family "Bacterial large subunit ribosomal RNA", at positions 512 to 1402 of the family's 2925-position model. The record is from RNAcentral. Lineage: Bacteria; Bacillati; Bacillota; Bacilli; Caryophanales; Staphylococcaceae.
AGGUGAAAAGCACCCCGGAAGGGGAGUGAAAUAGAACCUGAAACCGUGUGCUUACAAGUAGUCAGAGCCCGUUAAUGGGUGAUGGCGUGCCUUUUGUAGAAUGAACCGGCGAGUUACGAUUUGAUGCAAGGUUAAGCAGUAAAUGUGGAGCCGUAGCGAAAGCGAGUCUGAAUAGGGCGUUUAGUAUUUGGUCGUAGACCCGAAACCAGGUGAUCUACCCUUGGUCAGGUUGAAGUUCAGGUAACACUGAAUGGAGGACCGAACCGACUUACGUUGAAAAGUGAGCGGAUGAACUGAGGGUAGCGGAGAAAUUCCAAUCGAACCUGGAGAUAGCUGGUUCUCUCCGAAAUAGCUUUAGGGCUAGCCUCAAGUGAUGAUUAUUGGAGGUAGAGCACUGUUUGGACGAGGGGCCCCUCUCGGGUUACCGAAUUCAGACAAACUCCGAAUGCCAAUUAAUUUAACUUGGGAGUCAGAACAUGGGUGAUAAGGUCCGUGUUCGAAAGGGAAACAGCCCAGACCACCAGCUAAGGUCCCAAAAUAUAUGUUAAGUGGAAAAGGAUGUGGCGUUGCCCAGACAACUAGGAUGUUGGCUUAGAAGCAGCCAUCAUUUAAAGAGUGCGUAAUAGCUCACUAGUCGAGUGACACUGCGCCGAAAAUGUACCGGGGCUAAACAUAUUACCGAAGCUGUGGAUUGUCCUUUGGACAAUGGUAGGAGAGCGUUCUAAGGGCGUUGAAGCAUGAUCGUAAGGACAUGUGGAGCGCUUAGAAGUGAGAAUGCCGGUGUGAGUAGCGAAAGACGGGUGAGAAUCCCGUCCACCGAUUGACUAAGGUUUCCAGAGGAAGGCUCGUCCGCUCUGGGUUAGUCGGGUCCUAAGCUGAGGC